GUCGAGAAUUUUUCACAAUGGGCGCAAGCCUGAUGGAGCGACGCCGCGUGGGGGAUGAAUGGCUUCGGCCCGUAAACCCCUGUCAUUUGCGAUCAACCGUUGUUAUUUAAAAGAUGACAGCCUGAUAGUAGCGAAAGAGGAAGGGACGGCUAACUCUGUGCCAGCAGCCGCGGUAAUACAGAGGUCCCAAGCGUUGUUCGGAUUCACUGGGCGUAAAGGGUGCGUAGGUGGCGAGGUAAGUCGGAUGUGAAAUCUCGGAGCUCAACUCCGAAACGGCAUUGGAAACUGCCUUGCUCGAGGGUUGGAGGGGGGACUGGAAUACUUGGUGUAGCAGUGAAAUGCGUAGAUAUCAAGUGGAACACCAGUGGCGAAGGCGAGUCCCUGGACAACUCCUGACACUGAGGCACGAAAGCUAGGGGAGCAAACAGGAUUAGAAACCCCGGUAGUCC
This 449-nucleotide ribosomal RNA is filed under the name uncultured bacterium. Its description in RNAcentral is "bacterial SSU rRNA". It matches the Rfam family "Bacterial small subunit ribosomal RNA", at positions 354 to 796 of the family's 1533-position model. The record is from RNAcentral.